AAUACAAGAUGGUAUACUA
This 19-nucleotide non-coding RNA is filed under the name Arabidopsis thaliana (thale cress). The record is from RNAcentral. Lineage: Eukaryota; Viridiplantae; Streptophyta; Magnoliopsida; Brassicales; Brassicaceae.